This 470-nucleotide ribosomal RNA is filed under the name uncultured bacterium. Its description in RNAcentral is "bacterial SSU rRNA". It matches the Rfam family "Bacterial small subunit ribosomal RNA", at positions 8 to 524 of the family's 1533-position model. The record is from RNAcentral.
AGAGUUUGAUCCUGGCUCAGAACGAACGCUGGCGGCAGGCUUAACACAUGCAAGUCGAACGAAGGCUUCGGCCUUAGUGGCGCACGGGUGAGUAACACGUGGGAAUAUACCUCUCGGUGGGGAAUAACGUUGGGAAACUGACGCUAAUACCGCAUACGCCCUUAGGGGGAAAGAUUUACCGCCGAGAGAUUAGCCCGCGUCCGAUUAGCUAGUUGGUGAGGUAAAAGCUCACCAAGGCGACGAUCGGUAGCUGGUCUGAGAGGAUGAUCAGCCACACUGGGACUGAGACACGGCCCAGACUCCUACGGGAGGCAGCAGUGGGGAAUAUUGGGCAAUGGGCGAAAGCCUGACCCAGCUAUGCCGCGUGAAUGAUGAAGGCCUUAGGGUUGUAAAGUUCUUUUAGAUGGGAAGAUAAUGACGGUACCAUCAGAAAAAGCUCCGGCUAACUUCGUGCCAGCAGCCGCGGUAAU